This 93-nucleotide transfer RNA is filed under the name Caudoviricetes sp. RNAcentral's name for it is "tRNA-OTHER". The record is from RNAcentral. Lineage: Duplodnaviria; Heunggongvirae; Uroviricota; Caudoviricetes.
GCGGGAGUAGCUUAUGAGGUAGAGCAGUGUGAAGUCUGGAAUAAUAUCAGAUGGGAUCCUCAUGGAAGCAGGUUCGAGUCCUGCCCCUGCGCA